Molecule: ribosomal RNA, 485 nt
Filed under: uncultured bacterium
Lineage: Bacteria
Description: bacterial SSU rRNA
Rfam family: Bacterial small subunit ribosomal RNA
Source: RNAcentral
UUGAACGCUGGCGGCAUGCCUUACACAUGCAAGUCGAACGGGCAGGCACGGGAGCAAUCCUGGUGGCGAGUGGCGAACGGGUGAGUAAUAUAUCGGAACGUGCCCAGUCGUGGGGGAUAACGUAGCGAAAGCUACGCUAAUACCGCAUACGAUCUAUGGAUGAAAGCGGGGGAUCGCAAGACCUCGCGCGAUUGGAGCGGCCGAUAUCAGAUUAGGUAGUUGGUGAGGUAAAGGCUCACCAAGCCGACGAUCUGUAGCUGGUCUGAGAGGACGACCAGCCACACUGGGACUGAGACACGGCCCAGACUCCUACGGGAGGCAGCAGUGGGGAAUUUUGGACAAUGGGCGCAAGCCUGAUCCAGCAAUGCCGCGUGCAGGAUGAAGGCCUUCGGGUUGUAAACUGCUUUUGUACGGAACGAAACGGUGAGCUCUAAUACAGUUUGCUAAUGACGGUACCGUAAGAAUAAGCACCGGCUAACUACGUG